This 497-nucleotide ribosomal RNA is filed under the name uncultured bacterium. RNAcentral describes it as "partial 16S ribosomal RNA". It matches the Rfam family "Bacterial small subunit ribosomal RNA", at positions 28 to 507 of the family's 1533-position model. The record is from RNAcentral.
GAUGAACGCUGGCGGCGUGCCUAAUACAUGCAAGUCGAGCGGACAGAUGAGGCUCUUGCUUCUCUUACGUUAGCGGCGGACGGGUGAGUAACACGUGGAUAACCUACCUAUGAGACUGGGAUCACUUCGGGAAACCGGAUCUAAUACCGGAUAAUAUAUUGAACCUCAUGGUUCAACAGAGAAAGACGUAUUUGCUGUCACUAGGUGGUGGAACCGGGCCGGAUUAGCUAGUUGGUAAGGUAACGGCUUACCAAGGCAACGAUGCGUAGCCGACCUGAGAGGGUGAUCGGCCACACUGGAACUGAGACACGGUCCAGACUCCUACGGGAGGCAGCAGUAGGGAAUCUUCCGCAAUGGGCGAAAGCCUGACGGAGCCACGCCGCGUGAGUGAUGAAGGUCUUCGGAUCGUAAAGCACUGUUAGUAGGGAAGAAGAAAUGUGUGAGAAACUAUGCCCGUCUUGACGUUACCUAAACAGAAAGCCACGGCUAACUACGUG